GGAGAGGUGGCUGAGUGGUCGAAAGCGUCGGAUUGCUAAUCCGAUGUGUGAUUACAUCACACCGAGAGUUCAAAUCUCUUCCUCUCCU
Molecule: transfer RNA, 88 nt
Filed under: Cryptomonas gyropyrenoidosa
Lineage: Eukaryota; Cryptophyceae; Cryptomonadales; Cryptomonadaceae
Description: tRNA-Ser
Rfam family: tRNA
About the family: Transfer RNA (tRNA) molecules are approximately 80 nucleotides in length.
Source: RNAcentral